CUUCAUGGUUUGAUGCUGCAAAAUUAAGAAAGCUAAGACCAAGUUUCAAGCAGAACGAGGGCUCUGUUACUGCUGGCAAUGCUUCAAUCAUAAGUGAUGGUGCAGCUGCAUUAGUCCUAGUGAGUGGAGAGAAGGCACUUCAACUUGGAUUGCAAGUAAUUGCAAAGAUUAAGGGCUAUGCUGAUGCAGCUCAGGAAAGCCUUAACGUACAUGGUGGGGCUGUAUCAUUGGGACACCCAUUAGGAUGCAGUGGAGCUCGUAUCUUGGUCACAUUGUUUGGGGUAUUGAGACAUAAAAAGGGAAAGUACGGGGUUGGUGCCAUAUGCAACGGUGGCGGGGGAGCUUCUUCACUUGUUCUUGAGCUCAUGCCAAAUUAAUAUUGAAACAAGGAGAAAUUGAAAAACUGAUUGAUCCAAAGCUAGGAGGGGCCUAUGAUAUUACUCAGCUAAAAAGACUUGCCUUUGCUGCAUCACUUUGCA
Molecule: long non-coding RNA, 479 nt
Organism: Humulus lupulus (European hop)
Lineage: Eukaryota; Viridiplantae; Streptophyta; Magnoliopsida; Rosales; Cannabaceae
Exons: 5
Source: RefSeq, a predicted model, not a curated record